CUUCACGAUCUGCUUACUAAAAUUACCAGGUCACUUUACAAAAGCCUAGUGCACAACCUACCUAUAAAGAGUAGGUGUUAUUUAUGUACCUACUACACAGAUUACUCGACUGAAUCUUAUUAUGAUAUAGAAUUUUAUGUUUGCCGUGGUCUGGAUGUUUGUGCAGUCCUUGUGAGUCCCACCGUGCCUCGGAGAGCACGUUAAGCCGUCGGUCCUGGUUGUUAUCAUGUACACCUGAUAGCAAUCGUUACUCAUAGUAGGGAAUAUAUUCACCAACCCGCGUUGGAGCGGCGUGGUGGAUUUAAGCGCUGAUCCUUCUCCUACAUGGGUAAAGAAGCGUAUG
This 343-nucleotide unclassified non-coding RNA is filed under the name Melitaea cinxia (Glanville fritillary). RNAcentral describes it as "misc RNA ENSMCXG00005006781.1". The record is from RNAcentral. Lineage: Eukaryota; Metazoa; Arthropoda; Insecta; Lepidoptera; Nymphalidae.